This 56-nucleotide transfer RNA is filed under the name Chandlerella quiscali. RNAcentral's name for it is "tRNA-Arg". Lineage: Eukaryota; Metazoa; Nematoda; Chromadorea; Rhabditida; Onchocercidae. The record is from RNAcentral.
AGAAUAUUAAAUAGAUGUCCUAUAUCUGAUUACGGUUCAGUGAGAAAUAUAUUUUU